Molecule: ribosomal RNA, 473 nt
Filed under: uncultured bacterium
Lineage: Bacteria
Description: bacterial SSU rRNA
Rfam family: Bacterial small subunit ribosomal RNA
Source: RNAcentral
CACUGUCACUCCUACGGGAGCAGCAGUAGGGAAUCUUCCGCAAUGGACGAAAGUCUGACGGAGCAACGCCGCGUGAGUGAUGAAGGUUUUCGGAUCGUAAAACUCUGUUGUUAGGGAAGAACAAGUACAAGAGUAACUGCUUGUACCUUGACGGUACCUAACCAGAAAGCCACGGCUAACUACGUGCCAGCAGCCGCGGUAAUACGUAGGUGGCAAGCGUUGUCCGGAAUUAUUGGGCGUAAAGCGCGCGCAGGCGGUCCUUUAAGUCUGAUGUGAAAGCCCACGGCUCAACCGUGGAGGGUCAUUGGAAACUGGGGGACGUUGAGUGCAGAAGAGAAGAGUGGAAUUCCACGUGUAGCGGUGAAAUGCGUAGAGAUGUGGAGGAACACCAGUGGCGAAGGCGACUCUUUGGUCUGUAACUGACGCUGAGGCGCGAAAGCGUGGGGAGCAAACAGGAUUAGAUACCCUGGUAG